This 4867-nucleotide long non-coding RNA is filed under the name Homo sapiens (human). RNAcentral describes it as "long non-coding RNA NONHSAT032174.2". Lineage: Eukaryota; Metazoa; Chordata; Mammalia; Primates; Hominidae. The record is from RNAcentral.
AGGCAGUAGAAUCCAGGGUUUCCUUCUGUGUAGGGCAGAAGUUAUUUACAUUGUUUUCUCCUAUGCAUGUAUUAGUUUUAUUAUUAAAAACCACAAAGUUUUUGUUUUGUUUUGUUUUGUUUUUUAAUAGGAUACCAUGGCAGCUGCAUAGAAAACAUACUAAAGGAAAGUAUGAUUCAAGUCAGAGAAACCAGUUAGGAGGCUAUUGCAAUAAAAUCCAGGUGAGAUGCUGGGCGAGACUGUGCCUGAGUCUACCUCCUGGUGUACAGGAUGAGUAUUCCUUAUUCAAAACACUUGGGACCAGAACUGUUUUGGAUUUUGGAAUAUUUGCAUUAUACCUACUAGUUGAGCAUCACAAAUCUGAAAAUCCAAAAUUUUAAAUGCUCCAAUGAGCAUUUCUUUUGAAAGUCACAUCGGCGCACAAGGUUUCAGGUUUUGGAGCAUUCUGAAUUUCAGAUUUUCAGAUUUGAGAUGCUCAAUCUGUUCCAAGAUCACUGGGCCAAAAUUAGAGUGUAAAUUCCAGUCCUAACCAAGCAAAGUACAAUCCCUUGCUGAGUACUCCUUAAGAUGAUCUCACCCAAGGACCACAUGCAGUUGGGACGAUUUUCUUGAGACGGAGUCUUGCUCUGUCACCUAGGCCGGAAUGCAGUGGUGCGAUCUCGGCUUACCACAACCUCUGCCUCCCGGGUUCACAGCAUUCUCCUGCCUCAGCCUCCCGAGUAGCUGGUACUACAGGCGCCCACCACCACACUUGGCUAAUUUUUUGUAUUUUUAGUAGAGACGAGGUUUCAUCAUGUUAGCCAGGAUGGUCUCAAUCUCCUGACCUCGUGAUCCGCCUGCCUCGGCCUCCCAAAGUGCUGGGAUUAGAAGCGUGAGCCACUGCACCCGGCCAGUUGGGACCAUUUUCUAACUACUGAUGGCUAGUGCUAUACCCACCAGGGCUGCUAACACCUGAAACCACUUGGUUUCACAGCAUGACUGCAGGCUCUCCUUUCCAAGCUACAAAUGAAUCCCAGUAGACCUAAAUACCCAUCAUCUUCUUACAGACUGCUGGGAUUUAACCUAUACUCCCUCUAAAUUUUGUUUUCACUGGUCAUAGCCCCUGAUCUGGUCUUUUUUCCUCUAUCAAUAAUGUCAUUACAAUCUUCUGUAUUCCUCAGGCCAAAGCCAGAAACCCUAAACCCCUGCCCUUCUGGAGACUCUUUCAUGGUGCCCUCUGAGAUUCCCUUAAUAAACUCCCUUAAUAUCCUCAACUAUUUCCCUGAACAUUUCCUUUCAUUAAUUUAAACUUGGCUGUUCCCUGGGAAGGAAAAAACACCUACCUGACAACAAUCACAUCACAAGGGGGCUUAUUCUCAUGUAUUCCACAUAUCCACAGGUUGGAAGUGGGAUCAGUAUCUUCCUUACUCCCUAACACUGCUUCUAACCAUUGCAGCCUGGAGAAAACCACUCCUUCCUUUGAAGUUCAUACCAUCUAGUUAUACCACUUUCUCCCUCUCUUCCUUGCUAUCUUUUAUUUAAAUGACCUCUCCUCAAUCACAUAGACUUUGCUACUUGCUUUGCUGUCUUCUCCACUGAUGGCUCUAUUGAUAACUUGGAAGGACUUUCAAAUACAUAGAGAUCUUCUUCACUAAAACCUCCUUGCAGAAUUUCAUCCACCUUCCUCUUAGCAGAUAAUCUUACCAUGAAACCUAUAAUCAUAUAUCUAUAUUUUACUGGCCAGGAACAGUAGAAAUGGCAUCAAGGCUACAAAGAGGUUGGGAUAAGUAGUUUUGUAGCUAAAUACAAUACUACUGUUAGCAAAACUGAAGAUCUAUUCAUAAAGAAUAAAAAAUAUAUAUAUUUGGUUAGUAAUUAGCAGUGGCUGCCACACAGUUCUUAGGAAACACAAAACAUUAUAUAGUUCACAUAUUCUGAUCACUGCUUAGUACAGUUAGGUGUAAAUAAAUAAACAAGUAAUUUAAACCAACCCACCCAUUUUUCUACUCCUGAAAGAAUGGUGGGAGUAUCCCUCCGCCUCAUGGCAAACACCAAUACUUUUGUUUGUGCUCUAAACAUCUACACCCCAUUCUCAGAAGCUUAUAUUAAACUUUAUUAUGCUGCAUAUUAAACCUCACCAUACUACAUUCAUCACAUUAGAAUUCAAACAUGUUCUAGUUUUUCAUAUUUUAAACAUAUUAUCUCUUUACUCCAAAUCUCUCCAGCUACUACCCUUUCUCCUAUUAUUCAAACUUGUCUACAUCCAGUCUUUACUUCUUUGCCCUUUAUUGAUUCCUAAAGUCAGCCCAAUCUAGCAACCAUCUUCAUUAUGUACCACUAUGUUAUUUCCAACUACAAUCACAAAUGAUCUUCACUUGGCUGUAUAUGUUUACCUUUUUAGACUUCAUCUAAUUGGAUCCCUAAGUAACACUAAAAACAUUUACCUUCACCUUCCUUUUUUUUUUUUUUUUUUUGAGAUGAAGUCCUGCUCUGUCACCAGGCUGGAGUGCAGUGGUGAGAUCUCAUCUCACUGCAACCUCUGCCUCCCAGGUUCAAGUGAUUCUUCUGCCUCAGCUCCUGAGUAGCUGGGACUACAGGCAUGUGCCACCACACCCGGCUAAUUUUUGUAUUUUAGUAGAACCAGGGUUUCACCAUGUUGGCCAGGAUGGUCUCGAUCUGACCUUGUGAUCCGCCUGCCUCAGCCUCUCAAAGUGCCAGGAUUACAGGCGUGAACCACCACACCUGGCCAACUUCACCUUCCUUUUUGAAACUUGUUUGUCUUGGUUCAGUGAAACUCCACUCUUCUUGUUUUCCUCUUAUCUCUCUACUAUAGUUCCUUUAAAUGUAUGUCUUCAGGGUAGGUGGCAGACCUUCCCUUUUCAUUCUUACUCACCUUCCAAAGCCUGUUAUUGUCUCUUUACUGAUGUCACUACAAUUUAUAUCUCUAUCUAGACACCUCCUCAAUUCUAGAAUUGCGUACCAACCUCUUCAUCUGGAUGUCUCACCAUCCUCUGAGGCUAACAUGAAUAACUACAACAGCAGCUACUGCCUUCUUUCUUCCACCGUAUGCCACUCCUUCCAUAUUUUGUUAGAACUAAUCUGGUCAGUAUCUGGUUUCUCUCUCAGUAUGAAUUCUCUUGUGUAUAAUAAGUGAAGAGCUCUGACUGAAGGCUUUUCCACAUUGAAUACAUUCAUAGGGUUUCUCUCCAGUGUGAAUUCUCACAUGCCUCCUAAGGGAAGAGGAAACACUGAAGGCUUUCCUACAUUCCUUACAUUCAUAGGGUUUCUCUCCAGUGUGAGUUCUUAUAUGCAUUCUAAGGGAUGAGACCCCACUGAAAACUUUCCCACAGUCACUGCAUUCAUAAACAUUCUCUCCGGUAUGAAUUUUCUUAUGAACUUUAAGGUGAGAGCUCGUGUUGAAGGCUUUUCCACACUCACUGCAUUCAUAGAGUUUUUCUCCAGUGUGUAUUCUCUUGUGCACUAUAAGGUAAGAGCUUGUGCCAAAGGAUUUUCCACACUGAUUACAUUCAUAAGGUUUCUCUCCAGUGUGAGUUCUCAUGUGAGCCUUAAGGGAUGUUUUUUGACUGAAAGCUUUUCCACAUUGAUUACAUUCAUAGGGUUUCUCUCCAGUGUGAGUUCUUACAUGUCUCCUUAAGGUUGAGGAAUCAUUGAACACUUUACCACAUUCUUUACAUUCAUAUUGUUUCUCACCCAUGUGACUUUUCUUGUAUAAAGUAAGAUUAGAAAUCCUUUUGAAGGCUUUUCCACAUUGAUUGCAUUCAUGUUUCUUUUCAGUAUGAGUUUGUCCUUGUUUCUUAAGGGAUGAUUGAUGACACAGCGUUUCAUCUUUAUUACAUUCACAGGCAUUCUGUGCCAUAUGCAAAUUGUUAGGUACAGGAAACAUAUUAUGUGUGAAGUGCAUUCCAUGUUUAGAAUAUGUGUACUCUUUUUGUACUGUUUGAUUUCUCUGAAAAUGCCAUAGAGUUGUAUCACAUUCAUGACUUUCAUAGAGCUUCUCACUUAUAGAGUUUUUCACAUAAUUGUUUAUGAUUGAAUUGUGUUUCAAACAUCCAAUCUCUGAGUAACAUUUUUGGCAAUGUUUACUGGUGAAAAUGCUCUGUGAAAAAAUAAGUUUUGAUCCAAGUUUAGAGUUUUCCUCUAAUUCAUGAUAGUCACGGAAUAGCUCCUGAGGUACUGUUUUCUUUGGGGCAUAUAUCAUUUGCCUCCAAUGUCCCCCUGGAAUCUUAUGCUGUUUUCUGAUCUUAUGGCAUUCCCAGUCUUCUCUUAAUGUGGAGGACCAAUUAUGCAUUGUGAGUUUUAUCAUUUUCACUGCAUUGGAUGGUUCCUCCCACAAAAUUUUCUGCACAGUUGAUUCUUUGGUUUUAGGUUGAAUCUUCUGGUCUGGACAGAUGGCUUGGGGAAUUCUCUUUUUCAUAUUCCUUAUCUCUUCUUGAUCCAAUGGGGAGAUCACAGUAAGCCUGUACAACUGAUAUUCCACGGAGGUGAGAUUUCUAUAGUUUUCCAACAUCACAUCUCUGUACAGACUUCUUUGAGCAGAAUCCAGCAUCAUCCACUCCUCCUGAGUGAACUCCACAGCUACAUCUUUGAAAGUCAUUGGUUCCUGUAACCAGGUUGUCAGAAAUACAGCAAUCAUCCUUUCCUCUUCAGCAUUUCUCAGAUGGAAACAGGCAGAGUCCUGUUUAGUUAAAGCCCAUGGGGAGGAUAGGUCCAUAACUGCCAUUUUAUGAGUACAUAAGCCUGCACAGUAGAGUAGAGAGAUCAGGAUGUUUCUGUUCUUGUGUCUCCAAUCCAGUCACAGGAGGGAUGCAUUUCACCCGAAGUUCUCCCUGUAGCCAAAGAAGCAAGUUCAGGUAAAAGAAGAAAGCUG